AACGAACGCUGGCGGCGGGCCUCAUACAUGCAAGUCGAGCGCGAAAGUCCGCAAGGAUGAGUAAAGCGGCGCACGGGUGAGUAACACGUGGGUAAUCUACCUCUUGGAUUGGAAUAACCUGUCGAAAGACGGGCUAAUGCCGAGUAAGCUCUCUUGAACGUGGAGUUCGAGCGAGGAAAGAUGGCGCAAGCUAUCGCCGAGAGAUGAGCCUGCGUCCCAUUAGUUAGUUGGUGGGGUAAUGGCUUACCAAGACAAUGAUGGGUACCUGGU
Molecule: ribosomal RNA, 270 nt
Filed under: uncultured bacterium
Lineage: Bacteria
Description: partial 16S ribosomal RNA
Rfam family: Bacterial small subunit ribosomal RNA
Source: RNAcentral